GAAAUGCGAUACGUAGUGUGAAUUGCAGAAUUCAGUGAAUCAUCGAAUCUUUGAACGCACAUUGCGCCCUUUGGUAUUCCAAAGGGCAUGCUUGUUCGAGCGUCAUUUGUACCCUCAAGCUUUGCUUGGUGUUGGGCGUUUUUUGUCUUUGGCUCGCCCAAAGACUCGCCUUAAAACGAUUGGCAGCCGGCCUACUGGUUUCGCAGCGCAGCACAUUUUUGCGCUUGCAAUCAGCAAAAGAGGACGGCAAUCCAUCAAGACUCCUUCUCACGUUUGACCUCGGAUCAGGUAGGGAUACCCGCUGAACUUAAGC
RNAcentral lists this unclassified non-coding RNA (313 nucleotides) under plant metagenome. Its description in RNAcentral is "partial contains 5.8S ribosomal RNA, internal transcribed spacer 2, and large subunit ribosomal RNA". The stretch from base 1 to 105 matches the Rfam family "5.8S ribosomal RNA", at positions 50 to 154 of the family's 154-position model. The record is from RNAcentral.